This 5616-nucleotide long non-coding RNA is filed under the name Brassica napus (rape). RNAcentral's name for it is "long non-coding RNA (BNAP_LNC020612)". The record is from RNAcentral. Lineage: Eukaryota; Viridiplantae; Streptophyta; Magnoliopsida; Brassicales; Brassicaceae.
CAGGUUUAAUGCGGAGGACGGCUACGACGGCAAAACUGCGUUCUUGCCACGUGGAGAGGCGGAAACGGUGCCGUUCGGGUCUGAGAAGUUCUCGGAGAUCUUGAACACGUUCUCGGUGAAACCUGGCUCGGGAGAAGCAGAGAUGAUGAAGAAAACGAUUGAGGAGUGUGAAGCGAAAAGAGUCGGUGGAGAGGAGAAGUAUUGUGCUACGUCUUUGGAGUCGAUGGUGGACUUCAGCGUUUCUAAACUUGGCAAAGAUCACGUUCGUGCUGUCUCCACUGAGGUACCAAAAAAAAAAACAUACGCUAAUCUAUUUUUUUCGGUAUGGCUUGAACAUAGCCAAAUGAAAUAGUUUAAAAUAGUUUUGAGUUAAUAUAUGAAAAUAAGCCUUAAACCCCUUACUCAAUUAUUUAGGCUCUCCCAAAACAAUCGACUAUGUUUGAUUAGACAAAAAAAAAAAAAUAAAAUAAAUAAAAUAUUUGCAACUAGGUUUGGUUAUGCUCGUUGUUUUUUAGUCUUCACUUAUAUUUUCUUUAUAUUUAGUUUGAAUUCGGUUCGGUUUCAGCUAAUAAUAAGAAACAUAUAAAUUGUUUAUACUCAAAACUAGUUGAAAUUGGGGGUUAGGUUUAGUUUAUUUGGUUUGAAAAUAAGAAAGGACAUUUGCGUUUGGUUCGGUCUAGUGUGUCUAAUAUUCUGUCAACGCCUAAUGUGUUAUGUCUAAUAUUCUGGUUGACAUGUAACCUUGGCUUCAACAGGUGGCUGAGAAGAAUGCACCGAUGCAAAAGUACAGAAUCGCGGCGGCUGGGGUAAAGAAGUUGUCAGACGACAAGUCGGUGGUGUGUCACAAACAGAAGUACCCAUUCGCUGUGUUCUACUGCCACAAGGCGAUGAUGACGAGCGUUUACGCGGUUCCCCUCGAAGGAGAGAACGGGUUGCGUGCUAAAGCGGUUGCGGUAUGUCACAAGAACACCUCGGCGUGGAACCCAAACCACUUGGCCUUUAAAGUCCUUAAGGUGAAGCCUGGGAGUGUUCCGGUCUGCCAUUUCCUCCCUGAAACCCAUGUUGUUUGGUUCAGCUACUAGAUAUGCUUUUCUAUAUUUUGUAAUAAUAUAUAAGAAGAUCUAUAUUCUGGGAUGUUUUGUAUGUAUACAUAUAUAUAGUAAUGUGUGGUUUUCAUAUAAUCAAUGACCGAAGGCAUCUUAUAUGUUUUGCUUUACGGAGUCUUCUGUGACCUACUUGCUUCUUGUUGUUUAGCAAGAACUAGGUUAAGACCCGCGCCUUGCGCGGAAUGAAUAUUAAAUAUAAAUUAUUUUUAAGUAUUAUAUAUUUUUUACAUAUUAUGAAAUAAUAAAUAUAUAUUGAAUAAUUAAAAAUUUAGUAACUAUACCGUAUAUAAUUAAAUUGGUACAAAUACUUAAAUAAAUUUUAUUAAUCGAGACAAACACUUUUUCUAUUUUAUAUAUGCUAUAAAAUUAAGUUUACAUGAUAUUAACAUAGAUAUAUAGUACAUUUUUAAUAGUGACAUCUGUUUAAAAAAUAUUUUAUACUCAUAUUAUUUUGAUAGUUUGUAUUUCUUUAUAACAAAAAAAAUAAAUCAAUGAUAACAAUAAAAAAUUUGUGGGAUGUUUAAUAGUUUUAGUAAUUUAUAAUUUUAUAAACAUUCAAUGCAAAAUCUAAAAUCUAAAUAUUAAGUUUUCAAUAAUUGUUCAAAAUGUUUAUCAAAAAGAUUUAAAGCAAAUUCGAAAUUAAUUUAGUUAUCCUCAACUAUUUUCAAAUACUUUUAAUAGAAUUUUAAAUUAAAAAUAUAUAUUUAGUGAUGUUAUAUGUAUAUAUAAUUAAUAUUUUUAUAUAUUAAGGUACCCGUUCGGUUCUCGGUUCGGUUCCGGUUCGGUUCGGUUAUUUCGGAUAUAAAAAUAUAGGAACCGUUCGGUAUUUGAGGGUAUUGGUACGGUUCCGGUUUCGGGUAUUUCGGUUCGGUUCCGGUUUGGUUCUUCGGUUCCGGUUAUUUUGCCCAGACCUAGUUUUUUGGUUGUUUGGAAUUAAAAUAUCUUAUGGGUUUUCUAAAUCAAUAUAAUUGAUUUGACUAAAGCUAUCUUGGAUAACAAAAAGAAGGAUUGCAAGUUUAAUAACUUCUCCUUUAGACUUUAAUUUCAACUAAAUUAUAAUCAGUCUUUUAUCUAUAUCAUCUUAGAUAUAAACGUAAGGGUUUAUUAGAAUAAAUAAACAGUUUCAACACUAUUUAAUAUGUGAUUUAAUAAACAAAAGAACACGUAGGAGUUUUAGGAUUUAAAGAGAUUGGAGACAAUAGUUAAUGAAUAUGAAAAGAAUACGAAGCAGAUGAAGAAAAAUGAUUCGAGCAAAUUAGUGGCAACACAUAGCUAAGCGAGAUAAAAAUAUCAAUAAAAAAAUGAAAGAAGAAUGAACAGAGUUAAGUUAUUACACAAGCCAAAACUAAGACAAAUCAAACGACAGAACGUGAAAACAAAUGUAAACAAGACAAGUGGAGAGGGUAAAGAUAAAAUGUAUUGAAAAACUGAAUGCUAGAUUAGUAAGUAAGAGGUAAAAAAAAUUAAAAUGCAAAAACUCCGUGCCUUGACGCGGAUAACGAUCCGUAGUGAAAUGAAAAAAAGAGAGGAUAAGAACUCUUGCUGCGCAUGAUGUUGCCUUUUUCAUGUACGUUUUAUGUACAUCACUAACUAAUAUAAGUAUGUGUUACUCUACUUUUGUUGGGGUGAGAGUUUCUACAAAAUUAUUUGUAAAAUUUGUAUGAUCUUGAAUCAAUAACAUUAAAUACAUCGAUGUACACCCAUUCUCCAACCAUUGAUAAUAAAAUAAGUCGAACACUAAUAAUCAAAACGAACGUGUUGGUAAGGUAUAAAUGAGUUAGUUGUUCGUUUUAAUUUUCUCUUUGUCUGAAAAGUCCACACGCAAGUUGAAGUUACGACUACGAUAUACACACUCUAUAAAGGUUUGGGUUUGAAUCCUUUAUUGAUCGAAGUGAACAAAUCCAUGCCCACAUGACACCGAAGAACCGUCGUAACAUGCCGGUGACCAACCUUCAUUAAUGCCUCUCUAACUUUGGAAUAAUUAUUUGGUUUUGAAAAGGAAAUUACCAUAUCUCUUAAGGAUUUUUUUAUCAUAGAACAUACUUUUACGUGCAGAUUUUUUAUCUAUCUCAUUAUCGAUUUAUUUUCUUGAGUGGUCAAAGACUCGAAGUCACCUACUGGAUAGUGCCAGUCUUGAAAUUUUCGGGUUGAAUACAAAACUAAAUAUAUAGGUCCUCAAAACAUUCCCAACUCAUUAUUAUUUUCAACUCUAUAAUAAUAUUGAGAAGUAAAAUUGCUCCAACACACUUCUAUUUUUCCUUUAAAAUAAAUAUUGCUAUUUUUCUAUUUAUAGAAGAAGAAAUAACAUUUUUCUAUUUUUACUAGCUCUAUAUUUAGAUAUUGAUAUUUUAGAAAAAUAAAUUAGAACAUAUCUCAUCUCUAUUAUAGAGUUCUUCUAUAUUAGAGGUAAAGAUAACAAAAUACAUUGGAGAUAGUCUGAGUGAUAUAUUGAAAUUGAAGUUUACAAUUAAAAAUUUACAAUAUCCCUAAAACUUAUAAAAGUAUCAAUUCUGAAACUAUCUUUCUAUUUCAUUUUAUGUAAAAGAAAGAAAAAAAUACUCAAGCAUUUAUAAUGAUAUUUGUUUGAAAUAGGUUUAAGUAAAACUCAUUUUCCUUUCUUGUGCUAAUAACAAAAAAAAAUAUAAACCUAAAAACUAUAUAAAUUGUAUGCCGCCCCAUACCAAUGUAUCUUAGGCACGUGUUCAAGGUCGGGCCUGCUGCUGGAGUAAAUGGACAUGCACCAAGGAAGAAAAUAUCAAGGUCUCCAGGAAUACAGAGAAAAUACUUACACAAUAUUCAACGCAUAAGUAAGAUAGUGAACAACAAAAUAAUAAGGCAAUCACAAAGGAUUGUGUGGUUGCAAACGAGUGUGUUUGUGAUAUAAGUGUUUAUCCUGAUAAAAUCAUAUAUAUUUUUCUGGAAAAUGGAGAGGCCCUAUUGAUUCAUAUUUUAUAAGAGAGUAUCCAUUCAGAUACCAAAUAUUUGAAUGAUGUGGUGUUUGGAUAAUCCACAUGUGGGCGUUUCGCGUGAACCACACUAAAUAGGUUCGGCUAGUUAGACUUCCUUCAAGACACUAUCAGAAUAUCCCCAGCGAGUAGGUUGACAUGGUCGCACAAUAAUACCUUGACAGCCCAAAUUAAGGACCUACGUGAUAGAAGACGACGUCGUAUGUAACAUAACACACAGCAAAAAAAAUACAGGUGAAGUUAAUUAAAAACACUUGUCCACACAUGGGAACAAGAACAGUUAAGGAGUUGAAGGCAACUGGUGGUUAGGGAGCUAGUAUGCGACUUAAUUUAACCGGCUUAAAUAGAUUGGUAAGUGUUAGCCGUCUAUAUCCAUACUUUAAUAUACUUCAACCUCAGAUCUUCUACUAAAACCCUUGCAUUAUAAAUUCUACGUACACUCCAACUUCUUCUCCUCAAAUUCAUCAAAAAUACAUUUCUAUUCUAACUCCCACAGAAAUGGCGAUUCGUCUUUCGUUGAUAUGUCUUCUUGUUUCAGUCACGGCCAUUGCGGCUGAUUUAACACCGGAGCGUUAUUGGAUCUCUGCCUUACCAAACACUCCCAUACCAAACUCUCUUCGCCAUCUUUUUACGUCAGGUUGAAAUUCUUUUUCACUUUAACAUGCCAUAUUUGUUUCCUUCUAGUUUUGUGAAACACUGUUUAUUUCUAAUUUCUCUACGAUCUGCUUAUGUAUAUAUAUUAUGAUUUUCUAUAGUUUAAAAUGUUUUUCCAAGUUUUAUAUUUACGGAGAUAUAAGAAAAGGAAAAUGAUAGACCUAAAUGCAAAGAAAAAUAUGGUUGAGUCCUUAUUACAAUUCCUAUAUAUUAUACUACUAUUUAUAUAUAUUAUAUAACAUGUAUUUGAAGUUGUGUCACAAGCUGAUUGGUUACACAAUCGCUAGUAAUUUUUGGAAGUGUACGUUAAUAGCCAAUUGAUGUCUCCUUACCAAAUUAUUUCAUUGUUGAAGAUUUUAGCGACGAGAAAAGCACCAACGUCCAAGUAGGGAAAGGAGGCGUGAACGUUUACACCGGAAAAGGUAAGCAUGGCGGAGGAACCGCCGUGAACGUUGGAAAGGGAGGUGUACAUGUGGACACCGGCAAGGGUAAGGGAACACACGUGAGCGUUAGCGGUGGAAAAGGUCACGGCGGAGGCGUCGGCGUCCACACCGGGAAGCCAGGAAAGAGAACCGACGUAGGAGUUGGCAAAGGUGGCGUUAUAGUGCACACGCGCCACAAGGGAAAGCCGGUCUACGUCGGCGUGAAACCAGGACAUAACCCUUUUGUGUAUAACUAUGCAGCGAGCGAGACUCAGCUCCACGACGAUCCCAAAGCGGCUCUCUUCUUCUUGGAGAAAGACAUGGUUCCCGGAAAAGCUAUGAACCUCAGGUUUAAUGCGGAGGACGGCUACGACGGCAAAACUGCGUUCUUGCCGCGCGGAGAGGCGGAAACGGUGCCGUUCGGGUCUGAGAAGUUCUCGGAGAUCUUGAACACGUUCUCGGUGAAAC